Long non-coding RNA from Panicum virgatum (switchgrass), 687 nucleotides. RefSeq lists it as uncharacterized. The record is from RefSeq and is a predicted model, not a curated record. The transcript is spliced from 2 exons. NCBI's taxonomy places the organism in Eukaryota, Viridiplantae, Streptophyta, Magnoliopsida, Poales, Poaceae.
UCCCUUGAGAUGACAAUCCCAUUGGUGGACACUUUCCUCGCUUUGUCAGUUCAGAUCCCAUUCAAUUAUAUACCCGUGGAGAAAUGGUAUGUCUUCCAAGCUUUUGUAGUGGCCACAGCAGCAUUUUUUAUCUGGAAAAGGUUGCUUCACUUCAUCUUCAACUGCUGUGGUCUGGAAAUACCCCAUAUACCACAAUGGAUGCGUGCUCUUAUCGCAUACAUAAAGUUACAUCUUUCUACCACCCUGUAUGCGAUUAAAUGUGGUUGACCUUUUAUUAUGAACUAAGACUGCGUCACAUCAUGAACACUUUUAUGGGCAGUCAUCUUUAUCCUUUGUCUACCCAAAACAGAAACAAGUUUGAAGGAAAGAGCGUCCAAGACCUUGAUGCUUCAAUUGAUUCCCCCUGUCGUACUAACAGUAAUCCAAACAAUUGAAGCUGUUGUGUUCCUAGCUGGACGCUACCUGGUGAGUCUAUGCCUGUUCCUUCGAAGAUUCUUUGCAAACUAUUAAACCAAGGAUCCUUUGUAGAUUGCAGAAUAGCUUGCUCCAAUGGAUGAAACAGGAUGACAAGAGCAAUCAUCUGUGGAAUCAGAUUUCGUCCAUUUUAAAAUGCCCUCUUGGACCGCAUAUUGAGCAACUUAGCUUACCACGUAACCAGCAUUUCCUUUAGUAUGCCAUGUUGCUGCU